GAUGAACGCUAGCGGCAGGCCUAACACAUGCAAGUCGAGGGGCAUCGCGGUGCAGCAAUGCACUGGCGGCGACCGGCGUACGGGUGCGUAACGCGUAUGCAACCUGCCCCGCACCGGGGGAUAGCCCGCCGAAAGGCGGAUUAAUACCCCAUGGCCCCGGGGGCCCGCAUGGGCAUCCGGGUAAAGCCUUGGCGGUGCGGGAUGGGCAUGCGUGCCAUUAGCUGGCUGGUGGGGUAACGGCCCACCAGGGCAACGAUGGCUAGGGGGUCUGAGAGGAUGGUCCCCCACACUGGUACUGAGACACGGACCAGACUCCUACGGGAGGCAGCAGUGAGGAAUAUUGGUCAAUGGGCGGAAGCCUGAACCAGCCAUGCCGCGUGCGGGAUGAAGGCCCUACGGGUUGUAAACCGCUUUUCCCCGGGAAGAAUAAGCCCCCCGCGGGGGGUGAUGCCGGUACCGGGGGAAUAAGGAUCGGCUAACUCCGUG
RNAcentral lists this ribosomal RNA (486 nucleotides) under uncultured bacterium. Its description in RNAcentral is "bacterial SSU rRNA". It matches the Rfam family "Bacterial small subunit ribosomal RNA", at positions 28 to 507 of the family's 1533-position model. The record is from RNAcentral.